GCAUUGGUAGUUCAGUAGUAGAAUUCUUGCCUUCCAUGCAGGCAACCCAGGUUCAAUUCCCAGCUGGCACA
Molecule: transfer RNA, 71 nt
Filed under: Loxodonta africana (African savanna elephant)
Lineage: Eukaryota; Metazoa; Chordata; Mammalia; Proboscidea; Elephantidae
Rfam family: tRNA
About the family: Transfer RNA (tRNA) molecules are approximately 80 nucleotides in length. Their secondary structure includes four short double-helical elements and three loops (D, anti-codon, and T loops). Further hydrogen bonds mediate the characteristic L-shaped molecular structure. tRNAs have two regions of fundamental functional importance: the anti-codon, which is responsible for specific mRNA codon recognition, and the 3' end, to which the tRNAs corresponding amino acid is attached (by aminoacyl-tRNA synthetases). tRNAs cope with the degeneracy of the genetic code in two manners: having more than one tRNA (with a specific anti-codon) for a particular amino acid; and 'wobble' base-pairing, i.e. permitting non-standard base-pairing at the 3rd anti-codon position.
Source: Rfam by way of RNAcentral